RNAcentral lists this long non-coding RNA (296 nucleotides) under Eutrema salsugineum. Its description in RNAcentral is "long non-coding RNA (ESAL_LNC002150)". Lineage: Eukaryota; Viridiplantae; Streptophyta; Magnoliopsida; Brassicales; Brassicaceae. The record is from RNAcentral.
CCCAUUUAUUUUGUCAAUUUUCAUCAACUUUCUCCUGACUUUUUUUUUAUUUUUAUUUUUAUUUUGAAAAAAGUUGUAGUGAUCUAAACCUCAGACCUAAGCUCUGAUUUCAGCUAAAGAACACCAAAACGAAGAGAGAGAAAGAAAGAUAAAGCAAUGACACAGAAUUUUGUUAAUUUCCGGUGAGGAUAGGAUAGCUACUCUCUGGGGCUCAACAGCACGAGCAAGGAAUAAUCCACUAGAAUAUGAUCGAUACAAGAGAUUCACACCGAGAUCACGAAGAAUAAGCCUCUUCG